CGGUGAUUCGGCAAGGGGUAUGUCACUUGCUUUGGGAGCAAGCAUUCGUAGGUUCGAUUCCUACAUCACCGA
Molecule: transfer RNA, 72 nt
Filed under: Aeromonas phage Ahp1_CNU-2021
Lineage: Duplodnaviria; Heunggongvirae; Uroviricota; Caudoviricetes; Pantevenvirales; Straboviridae
Rfam family: tRNA
About the family: Transfer RNA (tRNA) molecules are approximately 80 nucleotides in length.
Source: Rfam by way of RNAcentral